CGGGAAGUGAUGACACCCAUGACCGCUGAUGUUGCACUGAUUUUUCUCGUAUUCGUACUGGCUGAUCCCG
Cynocephalus volans (Philippine flying lemur) is the source of this 70-nucleotide small nucleolar RNA. Lineage: Eukaryota; Metazoa; Chordata; Mammalia; Dermoptera; Cynocephalidae. The record is from RefSeq and is a predicted model, not a curated record.